Mya arenaria is the source of this 339-nucleotide long non-coding RNA. RefSeq lists it as uncharacterized. The transcript has 3 exons. The record is from RefSeq and is a predicted model, not a curated record. Lineage: Eukaryota; Metazoa; Mollusca; Bivalvia; Myida; Myidae.
GCAUGAUGUACGUAGAUCUUCUGGCCGUUUUUCUUUGCCAAUGUUUUUAUCCUGCAUAUUGAUGGAAUAUUUUGGGUGAGAAGUUGUUGUGGUCGGUUGUUCAGCAGUGAGGAUAUACCUAGGAUCAAGUAUAUUAGUCUGGUCGUUUGCAUUUGUUGGUCACGUGAUUGUUGUGCUCCCUCACACUGACAGUACAAACAACAGGUUGACUUUACUGUGAAGCUGGCUUAUGAAAGCAGAACAAAAAAUAAUUAUCCAAUACGAUGUAUGUCUCUGACGUAAGUAACUACGUGAUAGGAUUUACCACACUGCUUCUCAGAGAUCCACUGUCUACCUUCG